RNAcentral lists this ribosomal RNA (373 nucleotides) under Clostridioides difficile. Its description in RNAcentral is "partial 23S ribosomal RNA". It matches the Rfam family "Bacterial large subunit ribosomal RNA", at positions 2241 to 2615 of the family's 2925-position model. Lineage: Bacteria; Bacillati; Bacillota; Clostridia; Peptostreptococcales; Peptostreptococcaceae. The record is from RNAcentral.
UCUGGUCUUGACUGUCAGGUGGGCAGUUUGACUGGGGCGGUCGCCUCCCAAAAGGUAACGGAGGCGCUCAAAGGUUCUCUCAGUACGGUCGGAAAUCGUACGUAGAGUGUAAAGGCAAAAGAGAGCUUGAUUGCAAGACAUACAGGUCGAGCAAGGAUGAAAAGCGGACUUAGUGAUCCGGUGGUUCUGCGUGGAAGGGCCAUCGCUCAACGGAUAAAAGCUACCCUGGGGAUAACAGGCUUAUCUCCCCCAAGAGUCCACAUCGACGGGGAGGUUUGGCACCUCGAUGUCGGCUCAUCACAUCCUGGGGCUGUAGUAGGUCCCAAGGGUUGGGCUGUUCGCCCAUUAAAGUGGUACGCGAGCUGGGUUCAGA